This 203-nucleotide long non-coding RNA is filed under the name Musa acuminata (dwarf banana). RNAcentral's name for it is "long non-coding RNA (MACU_LNC009169)". Lineage: Eukaryota; Viridiplantae; Streptophyta; Magnoliopsida; Zingiberales; Musaceae. The record is from RNAcentral.
AGAUCUUCCAUUCUUGGUUUCCAUAUCAUCCAAUUAUUUCCAUUCAAACUAAUCAUGCGAGAAAUAUUACUGGCCUCCAUAUUCAAAUACAAAAAUUAAAUCACCAAAACCCCGCUCUGAUACUAGUUGAUGGGGAUAUAAAGAGGAAUAACCUUUGUAUAUGAACAAAUACUAGAAGACCAUAAUACGCAGCGGAAUUAAAU